GGGGAUGGCAGGCUUAGACAUCAGAAGUUCAUUGAUAAACUGCAGACCGGGCGCUAUCCCGCAACAUGGCAAAAAACAAGAACUGCCAACAAAACAGCAGUCCCUGCAUUCGCUUUCGCGUAAUGCGGUGUCGCCUCACCUGAAGCUUGUACGGUGAACGCGGCAUAAACCCUCAAGCUGGUUCAGAAUCCGUGCCGUAGGCUUCUGAACGAGAACCAAAUCGGCAAACUCACGGGUGAUUCGUCGGAUUUUCUGCCUGUGUUUUACACCAACCCGACUAUGUCUGUAGAUGUUUUUCAAUACCUCUUUUGGACGGGAGUUCAAUUCUCCUCAUCUCCACAA
Non-coding RNA from Candidatus Wolfebacteria bacterium, 342 nucleotides. The record is from Rfam. NCBI's taxonomy places the organism in Bacteria, Candidatus Wolfeibacteriota.